GUGGGGAAUCUUGCGCAAUGGGCGAAAGCCUGACGCAGCCAUGCCGCGUGAAUGAUGAAGGUCUUAGGAUUGUAAAAUUCUUUCACCGGGGACGAUAAUGACGGUACCCGGAGAAGAAGCCCCGGCUAACUUCGUGCCAGCAGCCGCGGUAAUACGAAGGGGGCUAGCGUUGCUCGGAAUUACUGGGCGUAAAGUGCGCGUAGGCGGACAGUUUAGUCAGAGGUGAAAGCACAGGGCUCAACCUUGGAAUUGCCUUUGAUACUGGCUGUCUUGAAUACGGGAAAGGUGAGUGGAACUCCGAGUGUAGAGGUGAAAUUCGUAGAUAUUCGGAAGAACACCAGUGGCGAAGGCGACUCACUGGCCCGUUACUGACGCUGAGGCGCGAAAGCGUGGGGAGCAAACAGGAUUAGAUACCCUGGUAGUCC
Molecule: ribosomal RNA, 425 nt
Filed under: uncultured bacterium
Lineage: Bacteria
Description: partial 16S ribosomal RNA
Rfam family: Bacterial small subunit ribosomal RNA
Source: RNAcentral